CUAAGAUUGGAAACUUCACCAAGUCUUAACCUUCUAUGACUUACCAUUCGCGAGAAAUACCACAUCAAAGUUUAUCACUUUAACCUAACUGAGGUUUAAACGCGAAUUGUUUUCAUAUCAAGAUCGAAGAGAACACGUUGAACUCCA
Long non-coding RNA from Diprion similis, 147 nucleotides. RefSeq lists it as uncharacterized. The transcript has 4 exons. Lineage: Eukaryota; Metazoa; Arthropoda; Insecta; Hymenoptera; Diprionidae. The record is from RefSeq and is a predicted model, not a curated record.